RNAcentral lists this small nucleolar RNA (67 nucleotides) under Euglena gracilis. RNAcentral's name for it is "Eg-m78.1". The record is from RNAcentral. Lineage: Eukaryota; Euglenozoa; Euglenophyceae; Euglenales; Euglenaceae.
GGAUGAAACCUGUAACCCGGAUUCAGGCUCCGACGACGGGUGAUGCGGAAAGAGUUGCCGGCUCAGU